AGUUUGAUCCUGGCUCAGGAUGAACGCUAGCGGCAGGCUUAACACAUGCAAGUCGAGGGGCAGCGGGGAGUAGCAAUACUCCGCCGGCGACCGGCGCACGGGUGCGUAACGCGUAUGCAACCUACCUUUAACAGGGGCAUAACACUGAGAAAUUGGUACUAAUUCCCCAUAACAUUCGAGAAGGCAUCUUGGUGGGGUUAAACAACUCCCGGGGGAUUAAAAAGAUGGCCCUCCGUUUUUAUUUAAGUUAUGUUGGAGAGGUAACCCGCCUCCACAAAGGCCAAACUAUACAUGGGGGGGCGUUGGAGUGUUCACCCCCCCCCCCUUUUGUUAAUGAGCACCGGGCCCAAACUUCCUUACGGGGGGCCACCAGUGAGGAAUUUUGUGUCAAAUGGCCGCAAUGUUUGACCCAACCUAUCCCGCGUCCAGGAAAACAACUUCUUUGGAGUUGAAAACUGCUUUUGUACUAGGGUAAACGCUCCUAACGUGUAGGAGUCUGAAAAGUAUAGUACGAAUAAGGAUCGGCUAACUCCGUGCCAGCAGCCGCGGUAAUACGGAGGAUCCAAGCGUUAUCCGGAUUUAUUGGGUUUAAAGGGUGCGUAGGCGGUUUGAUAAGUUAGAGGUGAAAUACCGGGGCUCAACUCCGGAACUGCCUCUAAUACUGUUGAACUAGAGAGUAGUUGCGGUAGGCGGAAUGUAUGGUGUAGCGGUGAAAUGCUUAGAGAUCAUACAGAACACCGAUUGCGAAGGCAGCUUACCAAACUAUAUCUGACGUUGAGGCACGAAAGCGUGGGGAGCAAACAGGAUUAGAUACCCUGGUAGUCCACGCAGUAAACGAUGAUAACUCGUUGUCGGCGAUACACAGUCGGUGACUAAGCGAAAGCGAUAAGUUAUCCACCUGGGGAGUACGUUCGCAAGAAUGAAACUCAAAGGAAUUGACGGGGGCCCGCACAAGCGGAGGAACAUGUGGUUUAAUUCGAUGAUACGCGAGGAACCUUACCCGGGCUUGAAAGUUAGUGACGAUUCUGGAAACAGGAUUUCCCUUCGGGGCACGAAACUAGGUGCUGCAUGGUUGUCGUCAGCUCGUGCCGUGAGGUGUCGGGUUAAGUCCCAUAACGAGCGCAACCCCUACCGUUAGUUGCCAUCAGGUCAAGCUGGGCACUCUGGCGGGACUGCCGGUGUAAGCCGAGAGGAAGGUGGGGAUGACGUCAAAUCAGCACGGCCCUUACGUCCGGGGCUACACACGUGUUACAAUGGUAGGUACAGAGGGCCGCUACCCCGUGAGGGGAUGCCAAUCUCGAAAGCCUAUCUCAGUUCGGAUCGGAGGCUGAAACCCGCCUCCGUGAAGUUGGAUUCGCUAGUAAUCGCGCAUCAGCCAUGGCGCGGUGAAUACGUUCCCGGGCCUUGCACACACCGCCCGUC
This 1422-nucleotide ribosomal RNA is filed under the name uncultured bacterium. RNAcentral describes it as "bacterial SSU rRNA". It matches the Rfam family "Bacterial small subunit ribosomal RNA". The record is from RNAcentral.